AUCCCCGGGCUCAACCUGGGAACUGCAUUCGAAACUGGCAGGCUUGAGUCUUGUAGAGGGGGGUAGAAUUCCAGGUGUAGCGGUGAAAUGCGUAGAGAUCUGGAGGAAUACCGGUGGCGAAGGCGGCCCCCUGGACAAAGACUGACGCUCAGGUGCGAAAGCGUGGGGAGCAAACAGGAUUAGAUACCCUGGUAGUCCACGCCGUAAACGAUGUCUACUUGGAGGUUGUGCCCUUGAGGCGUGGCUUCCGGAGCUAACGCGUUAAGUAGACCGCCUGGGGAGUACGGCCGCAAGGUUAAAACUCAAAUGAAUUGACGGGGGCCCGCACAAGCGGUGGAGCAUGUGGUUUAAUUCGAUGCAACGCGAAGAACCUUACC
RNAcentral lists this ribosomal RNA (377 nucleotides) under Salmonella enterica subsp. enterica serovar Javiana. RNAcentral describes it as "bacterial SSU rRNA". It matches the Rfam family "Bacterial small subunit ribosomal RNA", at positions 599 to 975 of the family's 1533-position model. The record is from RNAcentral. Lineage: Bacteria; Pseudomonadati; Pseudomonadota; Gammaproteobacteria; Enterobacterales; Enterobacteriaceae.